GGGGGGGGGGGGGGGGGGGGUGGGGCCACGCGAGGCGAAGGGAGGGGCCGCGCGGGGGGGGGGGGCUGGAGAGGCGGGCGGGGGUGAGCCGUGUGAGACUCCGGCCCACGACUAUGGGGUUACCUGUGGGCGCGGGGGCCAAUACCGGAUCGGCGCUCCUGCUCAAUGGUGGGGCGAGGAAAGUCUCGGCGGUUGGGGAGGGACUCGCGGCUUAUCAGCUUGUUGGCGGGGUAGUGGCUUACCAAGGCUUUGAGGGGUAGCCGGCCGGAGAGGGUGACCGGCGACACUGGGACUGAGAAACGGCCCAGACUCCUACGGGAGGAAGCAGUGGGGAAUAUUGCACAAUGGGCGGAAGCGUGAUGCAGCAGCGCCGCGUGCGGGAUGACGGCUUUCGGGUUGUAAACCGCUUUCGCCUGUGACGAAGCGGGAGUGACGGUAAUGGGUAAAGAAGCACCGGCUAACUACGUG
RNAcentral lists this ribosomal RNA (468 nucleotides) under uncultured bacterium. RNAcentral's name for it is "partial 16S ribosomal RNA". The stretch from base 58 to 468 matches the Rfam family "Bacterial small subunit ribosomal RNA", at positions 39 to 507 of the family's 1533-position model. The record is from RNAcentral.